GACGCGACGGGUCCGCCCACAGGCAAGGAAGGCCGACCCCGCGAGUGCAGGCGCGAGCGCUAGCCCGUGACGUCUGAGGGGGUUGGGGGGUUGCUGUGUGGGUUUCAAGAAGACGCCACGCCUCCGCCGCCGCCACGCCUCCGCCGCCUCCACCGCCGGCUGCCGCGCCCGGAGGAGGUCGGGAUGUUAUCACUUCCGCCGGGGCCUCUCACUGUGUCCGGGUCAGCUGCUGCCGCCGACGCCGUACCGCUGCGGCCGGGGGAUUGGGCCGGGGUCUCCACCGCCGACCGAGGGGAGCGGGCUCCGCUCGGCCCUGCUUUUUGCGACCUGGCCGUCAGCCCCACGUCGCCGGCCUGGAGGGGCGAAGAGGACGAGGGGGCCAAGGCUUCCUCCGGGGACAUUGGCUCCCUGGAUUAUCAAGAGUUUGUAGUUGACAUUGAAUCCAGGCUGAGGAUGGAAGGUGUGGAACUUAAAGAAGAAUGGCAAGAUGAAGAUUUUCCGAUACCUUUACCAGAAGAUGAUAGUAUUGAAGCAGAUAUACUAGCUAUAACUGGACCAGAGGACCAGCCUGGCUCACUAGAAGUUAAUGGAAAUAAAGUGAGAAAGAAACUAAUGGCUCCAGACAUUAGCCUGACACUGGAUCCUAGUGAUGGCUCUGUAUUGUCAGAUGAUUUGGAUGAAAGUGGGGAGAUUGACUUAGAUGGCUUAGACACACCGUCAGAGAAUAGUAAUGAGUUUGAGUGGGAAGAUGAUCUUCCAAAACCCAAGACUACUGAAGUAAUUAGGAAAGGCUCAAUUACUGAAUACACAGCAGCAGAGGAAAAAGAAGAUGGACGACGCUGGCGUAUGUUCAGGAUUGGAGAACAGGACCACAGGGUUGAUAUGAAGGCAAUUGAACCCUAUAAAAAAGUUAUCAGCCAUGGGGGAUAUUAUGGGGAUGGAUUAAAUGCCAUUGUUGUGUUUGCUGUCUGUUUCAUGCCUGAAAGUAGUCAGCCUAACUAUAGAUACCUGAUGGACAAUCUUUUUAAAUAUGUUAUUGGCACUUUGGAGCUAUUAGUAGCAGAAAACUACAUGAUAGUUUAUUUAAAUGGUGCAACAACUCGAAGAAAAAUGCCCAGUCUGGGAUGGCUCAGGAAAUGUUAUCAGCAAAUUGAUAGAAGGUUACGGAAAAAUCUAAAAUCCCUAAUCAUUGUACAUCCUUCUUGGUUUAUCAGAACACUUCUGGCUGUUACAAGACCAUUUAUUAGCUCGAAAUUCAGCCAAAAAAUUAGAUACGUGUUUAAUUUGGCAGAACUAGCAGAACUUGUCCCCAUGGAAUACGUUGGCAUACCAGAAUGCAUAAAACAGGUCUUCCUGUGUCACCCAGGCUGGAGUGCAGUGGUGCAGUCUUGGUUCACUGUCGCCUCCGUCUCCAGGGCUCAAGCAAUCCUUCCACCUCAGCCUUCUGAGUAGCUGGGACUACAAGUGCACACUACCACACCUGGCUAAUUUUUGUAUUUUUUGUAGAGACGGAGUUUUGCCAUGUUGCCCAGGCUGGUCUCAAACUCCUGGUCAAGCAGUCCGCCCGCCUCGGCCUUCCAAAGUGCUGGGAUCAUAGGUAGUUGAUCAAGAACUUAAUGGAAAACAAGAUGAACCGAAAAAUGAACAGUAAGUUUGGCAUCUAGUCCAAACAAGACUGAAGAAUGUGCUGAUGGAGCAGUGCUGUUUCUGCAUUCAUAAUGCAUUUAUUGGCCCAUAUUUUUAUGUAACCUGUUACAAAAUAGACUUGACUUUUUCAUAAUGGACUUUUGUAUUAUACAAGGGACUGUUCACUGCUGUACUGGUUUGCAAAUUUCUUGAAUUUAGCUCUUUAAUAGCUAACUGUAUUAUUAUCAUUUUAUAUUUUAUAUUGCUAAAUAGAGAACCACACUUUAUAUAAAGCAGUUUUUGCAUUUGUUUAUUGAAUGAUGCAUCUUCUUCGGUGAAAUAUUUAUAUGCAUAAAUGGCAAAGGAAAGAAAUAAUAUAUAUUUUUAUGUCAUUGAGCAAUAUUUUUUAAUGUGUACCUGUCUUAUGGAAGAAAUAUGCAGGUACAUAAGACCACGAUUUUCUAAAGUGCAUAUUAGAAUUUUUGUUUUUGUAAAUGGUUAAAUACAUUUCCUGGGUAACUUAGAAAAUUAAGUUUUUCAUAAGGCAACAGAUGGUUAAACUGAUUCUCAUGAAUACCCAAAGAUCAUGUAUAUAAUCGAAGUGUAUUAGUACCAUCCCAAGGUUUUUUUCUCAUUUAACAUAUUUGUUUCAUAAUUCAGCAAGUACAAAUGCAAGCGCAUUGCACACUUUUUCCUUUCUAAACUUAAAGACAAGUCAAAAAGCCAUUCUUAGAACUAGAGGAUUUAAGAGGGUAGGAAUUAGGGUUUGUAUAUAUGUAUAUAUGGGACAUUUUAUCUUCUGGCCCAAAGUCAGAACUUUAUAAAAAUCUUGAGUUUGUUCACUAAUGUGAAAUAAGCUAUGUGUCCAGGGUAUUGCUCCCCUGAGUGUGUAUGAGUGCUGAGUAGUAUUGCAGAGAAUGUGAUGAGUUAUUCACUGUCACAACUUUUUCUAUAGAAAACAGGGGCUGCUUUUUAAACUGCUCUCACUAUGGGCACUUUACCAAAAUUCUUCCAUAUCAAUUAUUUGAACUCAGUAGUUGUUUGACCUAGUUAGAUGUGGUGUUUAUUCAAGUUUGUAUGAAAUCAUGUUUGACAAUACUGUAAAUUAGGUUAAUUUUGUAAGUCUUAGCAUCAUCAUAUUGUGCUGUUUUGGAUAACACGUUUGUUACAAGCAUUUAAACUGUUUCAUUUGGUAGUACCUUUACAUUGAAAUAAAUUGUGUUUGUGCCUCCAAACAAAAA
RNA transcript from Pan troglodytes (chimpanzee), 2867 nucleotides. It is a transcript of the gene named BCL2 interacting protein 2, with no coding region annotated. The transcript is spliced from 11 exons. Lineage: Eukaryota; Metazoa; Chordata; Mammalia; Primates; Hominidae. The record is from RefSeq and is a predicted model, not a curated record.